CAGCUGCUCCCCUCAAUUUUGCCAAGUACAAAAAACAAUUACCAAAAAAGUUCUUGAGCAGCUAAUAAUGGAUUCAACACCAAUUCUCGUUAUGAAGGGGGAAUCUUUGAAUGAUUCCACUGCAUCAUAUACAGUCUUAAUUGAACAUGGAGAAUGCAUCUACCUAACGAAUGCAUUGCCAGGACUUUUAAUCGUUUUCCUUGCGUAUUUUGUUUUUGGACUCAAAUACCCUCAUGAAUUGGACACAACUUUAGAGUUUUUUCAGAGAGUAUUCUUGGACAUCAACCCACCUGUGGGGAAGAAAAUGAUUAAAGGGGCCAAAGCACGCGCGACCUCUUUCAAUCCGGCAGUGAGAAAAUUGAGCAUUGCCAUCGAGAAAUUCCCGAUAUUUUUUACAAAAACUCACUCCAGAGUAUAAUCUUUUAAAUUUAUUUUGAUAUCAUUUCCUUUCACGAGCUAUAU
This is a long non-coding RNA of Diachasma alloeum, 462 nucleotides long. RefSeq lists it as uncharacterized. The record is from RefSeq and is a predicted model, not a curated record. The transcript is spliced from 3 exons. NCBI's taxonomy places the organism in Eukaryota, Metazoa, Arthropoda, Insecta, Hymenoptera, Braconidae.